UUACGGACAUAUCAUGUUGAAACACUGGUUCUCGUACGAGCUCCGAAGUUAAGCAACGUCGAGCCUGGUGAAUACCUAGAUGGAUGCCCGCUUGGGAAUAC
Non-coding RNA from Acanthosepion pharaonis, 101 nucleotides. The record is from the annotation of a GenBank genome assembly. NCBI's taxonomy places the organism in Eukaryota, Metazoa, Mollusca, Cephalopoda, Sepiida, Sepiidae.